UUUUUUUUUUUUUUUCCCCCUUUCAGUUGCUUUAGAACAAGAAGAAUAAAAAAAGUCCACUGCUGACAAACACUGCUUUGGGCAUUUGACACUCGUCUUUGAUCUAGUUACUCAGACAGUUCAAAAUGAACAAAUUAGGUGUUUACAACAAAAGACAUUCCGUUUCAGCCUGUUCAAGUACCGAGUCGGGUGGACAGUCUUCUCAAAUGGAGCUGGGAAAUAUCUUCCUGCCAGGCCGCAGGACGGGCACUGGGAGUUGAUGGCCCCACAGAAAUUAAUAGAUUAGGACACUGCCUUUGUGCAUGUUAAAAAGAAAGAAAGACAACAAGGGGUUGGGGGGAGGGCGGGGGGAGGGGGUUUGUCAACGAAAUAAAAUCUAAACCAUCUGGAUCACUGAAGCGAGAGGCCCGCAGGGACACCUCUUAGCUCUUCUUGGGGUGGUUUUAUUGUGGGACCAACAGAAACAGCAUUCACUCUCAUUUCUGCCUCAAGACCGUGGCACCCAUCCAGUCUACACACCACAUGGAAAAGGGCAAAAAUCUUUAUCCGAUUAGGUAAAGUCAGCUGUUAAAAGUAUUCUAACAUGACUCCCAAAGAGCAGAGGAAAAUUGGGUGUUUCUGUGUCAUUUCUUUUCAUGAAAGAGAAUGGUUUUGUUCCCUGGACUGAAGUGUCUGUUUUGUUUCUGCUGAAACUCUGCAUCUUAGAAAAGGACUCUGCCUCUUAGAAAAGGACUCUGCCUCUCUUUGGCCUUUGUGAAGUGAAGUGUUUAUCCUAUGAGAUGAUUCGUGAAAGGCUUUUGCAGUCUAUGGCCAUGCAGUCUGCCUAUAAAUAGACUAUGUAAUUUGCACCGUGUUUUUCUUUUAAGGGACAACCUGGGCUCUUUUUAAUAAUAUUUUACAAUGUUUAAAAAAGCAGACGCCGUCUCAGCAACUGCUCCAGCAGCAGCGGGCUUUGAGGUGUGCUGUGUGAUUAAGGGGUACACACAGAGCAUGCUGAAAAGUGGCGCCUGGAAAUCACAUUUCAUUUUCAGCAAGCAGUGGGGAGUGGAAAAGGGAAAGUGAGUGGAGCAAAAGAAUGAAAUCUGUUCACACAGAUCCCAGCAUCCCCUAGAACCGAAAUGUCAGGCUUGAAAAUACCAAGUGAACCAGCUUGUCUAAUAUGUUACCAUCCUGGCUUAUAAUUACCGGAAAGUAGUUAUUUAUCUGUUGUGUUCAGCUACCCUGUCAGCACUCCUGAGUUUAAUUAUCAGACUUCACUGAAAGUUCAAUUUCCUCGGCUCCCUCCUCUUUUUGCAGCAACAUAAAUCGGAAUUUCUUCCUGGUUUCUGUUCACUGUUUUGGCAAGCCUUCUCCUCCAGCUUCAGUUCUUGCCCAAGAGGCAGCUCCUCUCCCGGCGCUAAAGGAGGCAGCUGCUUGGCACACUUUCAACAAGCCUGACUCUUCAGUAUAUCCUAGUUCACAGCCCCUUGUCCAUCAAUGGGGUGAAAAAGAGAAGCCUUGGACAAGGCUGUUGGCUAACCUCACCUCCACAGAGCACAAGGGCUUCAAACAUCUGCCCCGGGGUUGGUACAGCUGAGCUAGGGAAUUCAAAACAGCUCCAAAUAAGGGGGCCCUCCCAGCAAGUAAAACAAACAGUUGUUACUCUCCCCCCGCCCCACCUUACCCUCCCAGGCCAGGGAGCCUUCCAGUGAAAAGGAUCUUGUUCUGGGUGUGAUUCUUUCAUGCAGGCCCUUUGUCGAAACAGAGCGUGAUUUGUCAGAGACAGGAGCUGGGUAAGACAGAGAACUUUGGAACCUGGGGAUCCUUACCUUGAAAGGAGGAAAACCAGCUAGAACUUAGAUGCUACAUUAUCCCACUCCCUCACCAAUCCCCCACAAUGGAAUCCAGCCCCGAAGAGAAAAAUGGAUACUUGGGACAAGCUAUUAUUACAAGUUCUGCUGAGAAUCUGGACUCACCCUGCAGCAGUUGUCUUAGAGGGGAAUAAUCAGAUGGUAGUGAUGUUUGUGGAGGUUUAUUUGCAGGUGAGCUCGACAGCAAGUCAAAGUUGCUCUAGCUGGUUAGCCAUCCUCUGAGGCAUAGUUCUCUCCAUCAGCCAAGGUUGGUGACAGGAAAGGAUUAGUACAGACUUUGAACCCCAGCUCUGCCACUUACCAGCUCUUGGGCACCCAACUCUUGCCACUGCCUUGGUAUUUCCCAUACAGCAGCACUGUAAAAGUCCCAACCUCAUGGGGACGUUAGAUGUUAUAAUACAUAAAUAUGCCAAGUACUUAAGAGCAGCGCCUGAUGCAUCGUGAAUGCUAUGAAAGUAUUAGAUGCUAUUAUUGGUAGUGGUGGUGUUAUUACUGCUAUUUCGUUUUCUUCACUGUUUCCUCCUCCACCAUAGCUCCUGGCAUAUUGAUCUGAUUUACUCAGAGUAAGCUUUCAAUAAAUACACAUUGAUUCACAAAGUGCAGGACAACACUACAGGCUUUGAAGGAAGACUAGCUCAUUGACAAAUACUUAGACCAAAUAUUCUGAUAAGCCCAACACCUAACAAGGUGACUGUGACAUGAAUCUGCAUGCAGCAGAGCUGCUCUGUUUACACAUGAGUGUCAAAGAUGGACAGAAUUCUGUAUAUUUUACACAGUUUUGGAGUCUAAGGACUUGUCCUCUGUAUUUGUUUCCUGCCACUGCCAUAACAAAUAACCACGGUCUUGGCUUAGAACACCAGAAAUGUAUCUUCUCAUGGUUCUGGUAGCCACAGGUCUAAAAUCAGGGCUGCAUGGGGCCACACUCCUUCUGGGGACACUUGGAGAGAAUCUAUUCCUUGCCUCGUUUGCAGGCUCCAGGUGAUCCCUGGCUUGUGGCUGCAUCACUCCGGUCUGUCUCCAAGGUCACCACCUCCUUCUCUUUUGUCUUCUCCCCAUGUGACUGUCACUUUCCCUCUGCCUCAUCUCAUAAUGACCCUUGCCAUUAGAUUUAGGACCUAUGUGGAUAAUCCAGGAGCUCCUCCUUCAAAAUCUUUGCCUUAAUUACAUCAUUUGCCUCAUAAGAUAUAUUCACAGGUUCUGAGGACUAGGCUGUGGACACCAUUCAGCCCACUACAAUGUCUGUCGCCAAAAUGUGCUGACAGAGGUUAUGAAAGUCAUCAUUUAUUUUGAUCAAGUGCAAAUGGUUUAUAUUUAUACAUUUUUUAGGAAUAACUGUGCAGGUCCGAUAAUUAACAAAUACACAGACACACACGUGCCUAUACACCAGCUGUUCUCCAUUGGAGGGAGAGUUUUUGCUUUAUCAUUGGGAGAAAAAUGUGUUUCACAAGGUGAGGUGCCAAGGUAAGGAGAGAGAACAGGAGAAAGAAACGGGGUGGCAGGAUUCCUUCAUCAUCUGCUGUAGAUUCUUUUUUGUUCUUCUUCUAGGAAGAGAUGGUACAAGGCAGAGGGGGCUAUGAAGGCUCAUGAGGUUCCUCAGUGAACAUGGAAAGGAUCUUAUGAGACCCUUGGGUAUAGGGAGAGCUGCUUUUGUGCCUGGCAACCACUCGGGAGACAUACGCUCUGCCUCUGGGCAGAACUGGCACAGCUCCUGCUUCCAGAGAUUCAAAGCUUUGAAAGUUUCCUGCAACAUCUUCCUUGGAUGAGUCACUUUAUGAUGUGCUGGGGCACUGGCAAACCAACGAAAAUGAGCAAGUGGGGCCAGGGAGACAGAGGCAACCAUUGUGAGGACAUAAGACACCCAUCCCACUAGAGACCUCCAGAAAGAUCUGAAGGGCACCUGACUUGGAUGGGUGAAGCCCUGUUAAGUGUGUAGGCGAAAGUUACACCACAAGUUGACAUUUGCAUGAACAUUUCCCUAUGUAGAGAAGGAGAUGAGGACGUAGGGCACCAUUAAACUGCAAGAAGCAUUUUGACAAAGCAGUUGUAUUAGUUUUCUAUGGCUGCUGUAAAGAAAAAAGUCCAAAAAAACUUUGUGGCUUAAAACAGCACUCAUUUAUUAUUUCAGUUUCCAUGAAGGUGAUAUCAAAAUCCUAUUCCUUUAUUCCGGGGGAAAAUCCAUUUACAGGCUCAUUCAAAUCCCUGACCAAAUUUAGUUUCAUGCUGUUGUGGGGCUGAGGUUCCCACUUCCUUGCUGAGUCCAGCAAGGCUUCUAGUGACUGACCAAACUGUCUACUCAUGACCCCUCCAUCUCCAAGCCAUUGCUGGCACAUCUGACCCUUCUUGGGCUUCUAUAACCCCUCUGACGUCUCUCCAUCUUAAACGGGAUCAAAGGGCUCAUAUGAUUGUACCGAGCCCAAGUGAAUAGUCCAGAGGAAUGUCGCUGUGUUAAUAUCACAUGAUUAGUAACCUUAGUUAUGUCUGGAAGUUCCCUUUUUACAUGUAAUAAAAGUUACGUAGAGUUAUAAAACCAGAGUGUUAAGGUCAUGGGGGCCUCUCAUAUUGGUAACUUGCAAUAAAGCUCCUCUUCCCAUAAAAAGCCCCUUGGGCUAGCCAUUGGAAGACCAUGUUUCAGUGUCACCUCUACCACCUGCUUAUAUGUUAAUGAACAUGGGCGGCCACUGUUUUGCUCUGGGACUAGUUUCUUGUCACUAAAGUAAAGGAGUCUGAGUAGAUGCCAUGUAAACACUCUCAUUGCUCUAAAAUUAUAUAACUCUGUUUCUCCAGUAGUAAAAAAUUACAACCCAUUAACAAAGCUGCAUUGCAAAAUGUAUCUUGUGGUUUUUCAACCAACUACUGAAGUAUUAUUGUCCGCACCAUUCCUGGGUCAGAGCGGACCCAUUCUUUGUGGGAUGCUGCCAACCUAUGUAUAAACUGUGCUUUUACAAUAGAUAACACUAAGUGUAGGACACAAAAAGCAUACCAAACAGUUUCCUUUAGGAAAUCACUGACCAUGCAUGCAAUUUAGUCAUUUAAAAUAAAGGUUUGAGCUAUUUGAGCUUAGGCUCUAGCAGACAUUACUUCUGAACAAAUCAUUUCAUAUGGAGUUUAAAUGCAACCAGGUGUUCAAAGUGAAAGACACACAGGGCCUCUAACUUCCAGCACACCUCAAGGGCAGCCCACAAAGAAUGAAUGAACUCCUUCUAUUCAUAGCAUUCAACUUCUUCCAUAAAUCUCUCCCAGAUGCCCAGAAUCAGAUAACAUUUUCCAAAAGAAUUGCAAACCUUAUCAGAACCUGAAGUCUAAAGUAUUACUUCAAAUCUAUUGACUUCCAGAUCAGAACUAAAGGUAUAAAUACCUAAUCCUUUCAUUCAUGUGGGUCAUCCUAAGAUUUCAGUGGAUCUUGAUAUGCAAAGUGGAUCCAUACAGCAUUCACAUUUUAAAUUGUUGAAAACAGGAAGAACCCCACCUUUCAGGUUCUUUUUCUUUCUCAAGUAUUGUCUCUCUGUUAUUAGGCCAUCUCCAAAUCAUCUUUUGUUCUACUUUUCUAUCAGUAACAUUCCCUGAGAGUAAAAAAAAUUUAAUAUUUUCAUGAACUUUCUUAACAGGUUAUUGAAAUUCAAAGGGAAUUGAAAGAAGUAUUUAUUGAAAUUAAACUACUCAUUUCACAGCUCUAAACAUAGAUACUUUCUACAACUCAUAUCUUAAGUCUAAAACUAAAUUAAAUCUUAUUCAUUCAACAAAUAUUUACUGACUACUUACUAUAUGCCAUAUCUAACUUCUAAGGAUAAAAUGAUGAACAAAAUAGUCCUUGAUCUCAGAGAAUUUGCAUUCCAGUAGGAGACAUACAAUGAACAAAUAAAUCAAUGUGCUGUGAAGAAAGAUGCGUCGGUAAGGGAACAGAGUGUGACCUGGGUGAAGUAUUUUUAGAAAAGGCAGUUUCUAGCAGGAUGACAAAUUAAGCAAGAAUGAAAAUCUUGAACAUGUGAGGAAAGAGCCAUCCAGGCAAAAGGCCUGAAGGACAAGUUCAGUGGCCCUGGAAUAAGAUGUGUUUGGCGUGUUCAAGACACAUCACAGAAGCCAGUGUAUCUCCAGUGUUGUGAGCAAGUGGUAUAGUGGUUGUGGAAAGGACAGUCAGGUCCGAUCACACAGGGCUAUGGUAAUGACUUUGGAUUUUAUUUUAAAUGUGAUGGAAAUGGAGAGUUGAAAACAGAUUUGAUUUAUAAUUUCAAGUUAUCACUUUGACUGCAGUUGGAGGAAAGAGGUCAAGAGUGAAAGCCAGGAGGCAAUUUAGAAAAGUUGCUGUAUAGCAAAUAUAAGCUCAGGCAAGAGAUAAACUGAGAAUAGUAAAAAAAAGUGAUCAGGUUUCGGAUGUAUUUUGAAGGUUUUGCUGACAGGUCUUGCUCAUGGUAUGGAUGUGGAAAAUGAGAAAAAGAGAGAAGGUUGAAAGCCCAUUAUUAACCAGUAUAGGGUAACUGUCAAUUACAUCCUCAUACUUAAACUCAACCUCCUCUCUCUCUCUCUCUCUUUUUUUGGAGCCCCCAGCAUAUGGAAAUUCCAGAGGCAGGGAUCAAACACACACACAGCAGCCAACAGAGAGCAGAGCAGCUGCAGUGACAAUGCCCGAUCCUUAACCCCGC
RNAcentral lists this long non-coding RNA (6487 nucleotides) under Sus scrofa (pig). RNAcentral's name for it is "lncRNA (ENSSSCG00030039554.1)". Lineage: Eukaryota; Metazoa; Chordata; Mammalia; Artiodactyla; Suidae. The record is from RNAcentral.